Molecule: non-coding RNA, 73 nt
Organism: Aethalodelphis obliquidens (Pacific white-sided dolphin)
Lineage: Eukaryota; Metazoa; Chordata; Mammalia; Artiodactyla; Delphinidae
Source: the annotation of a RefSeq genome assembly
UCCCUGGUGGCGCAGUGGUUAAGACGCUGUGCUCCUGACGCAGGGGGCCUGGGUUCGAUCCCCGGUCAGGGAA